RNAcentral lists this long non-coding RNA (733 nucleotides) under Daucus carota (carrot). RNAcentral's name for it is "long non-coding RNA (DCAR_LNC002842)". The record is from RNAcentral. Lineage: Eukaryota; Viridiplantae; Streptophyta; Magnoliopsida; Apiales; Apiaceae.
UGCAACACAACAAAAAAAAAUAAUUAUUAUUCGGAACGACAAUAUCAAAUUUAUAAUUUAAGAUGGUAUGUAUAACAUCCCACAUCGCUUAGAUAAACUGUAUUUGAAAUCUUUUUAAGCACAAACAAAUAAUUAAUGGUGGUGUUUGGCUACGGCUUUUAAGCCGACUUCUGGGCUUAUAAGUUGGAAGCACUUAUUUCGUACUGUUUGUGUAAUAAGUCAAGAAGCACUUAUAAAAAGCUAGGAAUGCUAGCUUUUGUUUCAGGACUUCUGCUUAUUUGCCAAACACUUUAAUCACUUAUAAGUCUUGUCUGGCUUCUAACUUCUACUCCACUUAUUUAUUUUAAGCAAGAAGCACUUAUUUUAAGCUCAGCCAAACGGCCCCAAUAUAUACUAAUUUACUAGCGUUUUUGGACCGACUUACGAUGAGUUUUUAGGUCCGGUAUGCAUCUAGUACCGGUAUUUUACCUGUUACAAUCGGUGGUGGGGCUGAUUUUGUAAGGAAUGUUGACACCACAUCUAGCAGGGAGGCCAGCAGCAGCGUUCAAGUUGAGGCCAGUGACGGCAUUAGCAGUUUGCUUGAGGCAGCCGCAAGCGGUGCGCUUGUCGAGUGUGGUCCGUGCAGCGUUAUUGAGUCCCCUCACACCAUUGCAACAGGUUAGCGGGACUGGAACGUUUACCUGGCUCCUCAGGUAACCCAGGCACGGGGCCAGGGCUCCAGUCACCUGCCCGC